Long non-coding RNA from Amphimedon queenslandica, 71 nucleotides. RefSeq lists it as uncharacterized. The record is from RefSeq and is a predicted model, not a curated record. The transcript is spliced from 2 exons. NCBI's taxonomy places the organism in Eukaryota, Metazoa, Porifera, Demospongiae, Haplosclerida, Niphatidae.
UAGAGGAACAAUCACAGAAUGAAAAACAGAUCAUUACGAACCUCAAAGACAAGGAGUUGUACAUAGCCAAA